RNAcentral lists this ribosomal RNA (420 nucleotides) under uncultured bacterium. RNAcentral's name for it is "bacterial SSU rRNA". It matches the Rfam family "Bacterial small subunit ribosomal RNA", at positions 356 to 773 of the family's 1533-position model. The record is from RNAcentral.
GAGGAAUAUUGGUCAAUGGACGCAAGUCUGAACCAGCCAUCCCGCGUGCAGGAUGACUGCCCUAUGGGUUGUAAACUGCUUUUAGUAGAGAAGAAACGCAGUCAUUUAUGAUUGCCUGACGGUACCUACAGAAUAAGCACCGGCUAACUCCGUGCCCGCAGCCGCGGUAAUACGGAGGGUGCGAGCGUUAUCCGGAAUCACUGGGUUUAAAGGGUGCGUAGGCGGGGAAUUAAGUCAGUGGUGAAAUCUUGUCGCUUAACGAUAAAAUUGCCAUUGAUACUGAUUUUCUUGAAUUGGGUUGAGGUUAGCGGAAUGUGACAUGUAGCGGUGAAAUGCAUAGAUAUGUCAUGGAACACCAAUUGCGAAGGCAGCUAGCUGGGCCUUGAUUGACGCUGAGGCACGAAAGCGUGGGUAGCGAAC